This 1395-nucleotide ribosomal RNA is filed under the name uncultured bacterium. Its description in RNAcentral is "bacterial SSU rRNA". It matches the Rfam family "Bacterial small subunit ribosomal RNA". The record is from RNAcentral.
AGAGUUUGAUCCUGGCUCAGGAUGAACGCUGGCGGCGUGCUUAACACAUGCAAGUCGAGCGAAGCACUUUUUUAGAACUCUUCGGAGGGAAGAGAGGGUGACUUAGCGGCGGACGGGUGAGUAACGCGUGGGCAACCUGCCUUACACAGGGGGAUAACAAUUAGAAAUGAUUGCUAAUACCGCAUAAGACCCCGGUACCGCAUGGUACAGGGGUAAAAACUGAGGUGGUGUAAGAUGGGCCCGCGUCUGAUUAGGUAGUUGGUGGGGUAGAAGCCUACCAAGCCGACGAUCAGUAGCCGACCUGAGAGGGCGACCGGCCACAUUGGGACUGAGACACGGCCCAAACUCCUACGGGAGGCAGCAGUGGGGAAUAUUGCACAAUGGGGGAAACCCUGAUGCAGCGACGCCGCGUGAGUGAGGAAGUAUUUCGGUAUGUAAAGCUCUAUCAGCAGGGAAGAAAAUGACGGUACCUGACUAAGAAGCCCCGGCUAACUACGUGCCAGCAGCCGCGGUAAUACGUAGGGGGCAAGCGUUAUCCGGAUUUUCUGGGUGUAAAGGGAGCGUAGACGGAAUUGCAAGUCUGAUGUGAAAAUCCGGGGCCCAACCCCGGAACUGCAUUGGAAACUGUAUUUCUAGAGUGUCGGAGAGGCAAGUGGAAUUCCUGGUGUAGCGGUGAAAUGCGUAGAUAUCAGGAGGAACACCAGUGGCGAAGGCGGCCUGCUGGACGAUGACUGACGUUGAGGCUCGAAAGCGUGGGGAGCAAACAGGAUUAGAUACCCUGGUAGUCCACUCCGUAAACGAUGACUACUAGGUGUCGGGAGGCAAAGCCUGUCGGUGCGGCAGCCAACGCAAUAAGUGGUCCACAGGGGGAGUACGUUCGCAGGAAUGAGACUCAAAGGAAUGGACGGGGGGGCCCGCACAAGCGGGUGGAGCAUGUGGUUAAAUUUAGAAGCGACGCGGAGAACCUUGCCUGGCCUUGACUUCCCGGUGACAGCGGAGUAAUGUCCGUUUUCCUUCGGGACACUGGAGACAGGUGGUGCAUGGUUGUCGUCAGCUCGUGUCGUGAGAUGUUGGGUUAAGUCCCGCAACGAGCGCAACCCUUACCUUCAGUAGCCAGCAUAGUAGAUGGGCACUCUGGAGGGACUACCAGGGGACAACCUGGAGGAAGGUGGGGAUGACGUCAAAUCAUCAUGCCCCUUAUGGCCAGGGCUACACACGUGCUACAAUGGCGUAAACAAAGAGAAGCGACCACGUGAGGGUGAGCGAAUCUCAAAAAUAACGUCUCAGUUCGGAUGGUAGUGUGCAACUCGACUACAUGAAGCUGGAAUCGCUAGUAAUCGCGGAUCAGAAUGCCGCGGUGAAUACGUUCCCGGGUCUUGUACUCACCGCCCGUCA